UCUCUGACCUACCUUAGCUGACUGUACAUCCUAAGACCCCCAUUUCAGAAGGGGUCCUGCCUCAUGCCCGGGAGGAAGGGAUGCUGUAUCAAGAUGUCAAGAAGAACCUAAAUAAGCAGGGUUUGGAGCGCUUUCGGAUAGCUGAACAUGUGAAGGUUCCUGGAGGGUGGCAUGACUGGGAAGAACAUGGAAGCCCCGCACCCCUUCCCCCAUACCUCGCCUUAUGAAUCUCUUCAUCUGUAUCCUUUGUAAUAUGCUUUAUAAUAAAUGGGUAAAUGUGUUUCUCUGA
Cynocephalus volans (Philippine flying lemur) is the source of this 289-nucleotide long non-coding RNA. RefSeq lists it as uncharacterized. The record is from RefSeq and is a predicted model, not a curated record. Lineage: Eukaryota; Metazoa; Chordata; Mammalia; Dermoptera; Cynocephalidae. The transcript is spliced from 2 exons.